This 254-nucleotide ribosomal RNA is filed under the name uncultured bacterium. RNAcentral describes it as "partial 16S ribosomal RNA". It matches the Rfam family "Bacterial small subunit ribosomal RNA", at positions 524 to 776 of the family's 1533-position model. The record is from RNAcentral.
UACGGGGGGGGGUAAGCGUUGUUCGGAAUUACUGGGCGUAAAGGGCUCGGAGGCGGCCAACUAAGUCAUACGUGAAAUCCCUCAGCUUAACUGGGGAACUGCGUGUGAUACUGGAUGGCUUGGAUUUGGGAGAGGGAUGCGGAAUUCCAGGUGUAGCGGUGAAAUGCGUAGAUAUCUGGAGGAACACCGGUGGCGAAGGCGGCAUCCUGGACCAAUAUUGACGCUGAGGUGCGAAAGCGUGGGGAGCAAACAGG